CGAGCCAAGUCGUGAGGCGGAGCUAAUCCCUUAAAGCCAUUCUCAGUUCGGAUUGUAGGCUGAAACUCGCCUACAUGAAGCUGGAGUUACUAGUAAUCGCAGAUCAGAAUGCUGCGGUGAAUGCGUUCCCGGGUCUUGUACACACCGCCCGUCACACCACGGAAGUUGGGGGCGCCCGAAGCCACUUAGCUAACCCUUUUGGGAAGCGAGUGUCGAAGGUGAAAUCAAUAACUGGGGUGAAGUCGUAACAAGGUAUC
This 257-nucleotide ribosomal RNA is filed under the name uncultured bacterium. RNAcentral describes it as "partial 16S ribosomal RNA". It matches the Rfam family "Bacterial small subunit ribosomal RNA", at positions 1246 to 1500 of the family's 1533-position model. The record is from RNAcentral.